This 443-nucleotide ribosomal RNA is filed under the name uncultured bacterium. Its description in RNAcentral is "partial 16S ribosomal RNA". It matches the Rfam family "Bacterial small subunit ribosomal RNA", at positions 338 to 795 of the family's 1533-position model. The record is from RNAcentral.
CCUACGGGAGGCUGCAGUGGGGAAUAUUGCGCAAUGGGCGCAAGCCUGACCCAGCAACGCCGCGUGAGGGAAGAAGGCUUUCGGGUUGUAAACCUCUUUUAUCAGGGACGAAGCAAGUGACGGUACCUGAUGAAUAAGCCACGGCUAACUACGUGCCAGCAGCAGCGGUAAUACGUGGGUGGCAAGCGUUCUGCGGAUUUACUGGGUGGGAAGGGCGUGUAGGCGGGAGGGCAAGGCCGAUGUGAAAACUAUGGGACCAACCCAUUGACUGCAGUUGAACCUGUAAGUCUUGAGUGGUGGAGAGGCUAGCGGAAUUCGGGGUGUAGGGGUGAAAUGCGUAGAUAUACGGAGGAACACCAGUGGCGAAGGCGGCUUGCUGGACAGUAACUGACGCUGAGGCGCGAAAGCGUGGGGAGCAAACAGGAUUAGAUACCCGAGUAGUC